GAAUGCUGACAUAAGUAACGAUAAAGCGGGUGAAAAGCCCGCUCGCCGGAAGACCAAGGGUUCCUGUCCAACGUUAAUCGGGGCAGGGUGAGUCGACCCCUAAGGCGAGGCCGAAAGGCGUAGUCGAUGGGAAACGGGUUAAUAUUCCCGUACUUGGUGUUACUGCGAAGGGGGGACGGAGAAGGCUAUGUUGGCCGGGCGACGGUUGUCCCGGUUUAAGCGUGUAGGUGUGUGUUCCAGGUAAAUCCGGUUCACUUUAACACUGAGGCGUGAUGACGAGGCACUACGGUGCUGAAGCAACAAAUGCCCUGCUUCCAGGAAAAGCCUCUAAGCAUCAGGUAACAUCAAAUCGUACCCCAAACCGACACAGGUGGUCAGGUAGAGAAUACCAAGGCGCUUGAGAGAACUCGGGUGAAGGAACUAGGCAAAAUGGUGCCGUAACUUCGGGAGAAGGCACGCUGACACGUAGGUGAAGUGAUUUACUCAUGGAGCUGAAGUCAGUCGAAGAUACCAGCUGGCUGCAACUGUUUAUUAAAAACACAGCACUGUGCAAACACGAAAGUGGACGUAUACGGUGUGACGCCUGCCCGGUGCCGGAAGGUUAAUUGAUGGGGUCAGCGCAAGCGAAGCUCCUGAUCGAAGCCCCGGUAAACGGCGGCCGUAACUAUAACGGUCCUAAGGUAGCGAAAUUCCUUGUCGGGUAAGUUCCGACCUGCACGAAUGGCGUAAUGAUGGCCAGGCUGUCUCCACCCGAGACUCAGUGAAAUUGAACUCGCUGUGAAGAUGCAGUGUACCCGCGGCAAGACGGAAAGACCCCGUGAACCUUUACUAUAGCUUGACACUGAACAUUGAGCCUUGAUGUGUAGGAUAGGUGGGAGGCUUUGAAGUGUGGACGCCAGUCUGCAUGGAGCCGACCUUGAAAUACCACCCUUUAAUGUUUGAUGUUCUAACGUGGACCCGUGAUCCGGGUUGCGGACAGUGUCUGGUGGGUAGUUUGACUGGGGCGGUCUCCUCCUAAAGAGUAACGGAGGAGCACGAAGGUUGGCUAAUCCUGGUCGGACAUCAGGAGGUUAGUGCAAUGGCAUAAGCCAGCUUGACUGCGAGCGUGACGGCGCGAGCAGGUGCGAAAGCAGGUCAUAGUGAUCCGGUGGUUCUGAAUGGAAGGGCCAUCGCUCAACGGAUAAAAGGUACUCCGGGGAUAACAGGCUGAUACCGCCCAAGAGUUCAUAUCGACGGCGGUGUUUGGCACCUCGAUGUCGGCUCAUCACAUCCUGGGGCUGAAGUAGGUCCCAAGGGUAUGGCUGUUCGCCAUUUAAAGUGGUACGCGAGCUGGGUUUAGAACGUCGUGAGACAGUUCGGUCCCUAUCUGCCGUGGGCGCUGGAGAACUGAGGGGGGCUGCUCCUAGUACGAGAGGACCGGAGUGGACGCAUCACUGGUGUUCGGGUUGUCAUGCCAAUGGCACUGCCCGGUAGCUAAAUGCGGAAGAGAUAAGUGCUGAAAGCAUCUAAGCACGAAACUUGCCCCGAGAUGAGUUCUCCCUGAGACUUAGAGUCUCCUGAAGGAACGUUGAAGACGACGACGUUGAUAGGCCGGGUGUGUAAGCGCAGCGAUGCGUUGAGCUAACCGGUACUAAUGAACCGUGAGGCUUAACCUUACA
This 1658-nucleotide ribosomal RNA is filed under the name Salmonella enterica subsp. enterica serovar Reading. RNAcentral describes it as "partial 23S ribosomal RNA". It matches the Rfam family "Bacterial large subunit ribosomal RNA", at positions 1292 to 2925 of the family's 2925-position model. Lineage: Bacteria; Pseudomonadati; Pseudomonadota; Gammaproteobacteria; Enterobacterales; Enterobacteriaceae. The record is from RNAcentral.